This 607-nucleotide ribosomal RNA is filed under the name bacterium 4746K8-B3. RNAcentral describes it as "bacterial SSU rRNA". It matches the Rfam family "Bacterial small subunit ribosomal RNA", at positions 52 to 654 of the family's 1533-position model. The record is from RNAcentral.
CACAUGCAAGUCGAGCGGUAACAGAAAGUAGCUUGCUACUUUGCUGACGAGCGGCGGACGGGUGAGUAAUGCUUGGGAACAUGCCUUGAGGUGGGGGACAACAGUUGGAAACGACUGCUAAUACCGCAUAAUGUCUACGGACCAAAGGGGGCUUCGGCUCUCGCCUUUAGAUUGGCCCAAGUGGGAUUAGCUAGUUGGUGAGGUAAUGGCUCACCAAGGCGACGAUCCCUAGCUGGUUUGAGAGGAUGAUCAGCCACACUGGGACUGAGACACGGCCCAGACUCCUACGGGAGGCAGCAGUGGGGAAUAUUGCACAAUGGGCGCAAGCCUGAUGCAGCCAUGCCGCGUGUGUGAAGAAGGCCUUCGGGUUGUAAAGCACUUUCAGUCAGGAGGAAAGGUUAGUAGUUAAUACCUGCUAGCUGUGACGUUACUGACAGAAGAAGCACCGGCUAACUCCGUGCCAGCAGCCGCGGUAAUACGGAGGGUGCGAGCGUUAAUCGGAAUUACUGGGCGUAAAGCGUACGCAGGCGGUUUGUUAAGCGAGAUGUGAAAGCCCCGGGCUCAACCUGGGAACUGCAUUUCGAACUGGCAAACUAGAGUGUGAUAG